CUCCGGGUGGCAGUAGCACAUGAUAAUCUACCUGAAUUCUCCUCAUGUUUGAAGGAUCUGAAAACAUACUUGAUACGGGUACGUGUUUAGUCUCCUACAACCAAUGAGCUAUCUAAAUUCAUAGGCUCCAAUGUCACACAGCUGUAAUCUUGGUGGAAAGUUAAACCAGUGAACACAUCACCACUUAGAACUUGGGGAGUGAGUUAAGGCUAUUUGGUUUAUCAGUCGUCUUCCCAUUCUGCCGUAAUUGUAUUAUGAAUGUUUUGUUCUUCUACAGAAGCCGCACUUUCUGCGUUUAUCUGUUGCGUGGUGACAUCUGCCUUUGUUUCUCUCGUUUUUCCUCUACAAAAUGGAACAUGUUCUUCCUCCCACUAGUUAUUGGGAGGUUUCCUCGGUACGUUUGGGACAUAUUCUACCAGCAGGUCAAAAGACAAGUUGCAUUUUGACUUUGCACGUGAUGUAUGACCUUUAACAAAAGGACACAGGUUCAACGCAGAAGCGUAGUCUUUAAACACUACCCCUGCCUCCUAGUUUGGAACAAGGACACUCUUGCUGCCUGAUAUGGUGAUAUGUCCAAGUCCAGCUCCAAAUUGGGUCAUUUGAUAAACCUGGGAUGAGGGUACUGCUCAAACAGUUUCCAGAAAUGCUUGCUUCAGUGUGGAACAAAUGCUGGAUCGUUUGGUCAUCCAAAAUCCAGGUGAUCAGGAAUCAUCUCAGAACCUACCCGUUUUCAAGCUGCAGCUUUGAGCCUACUCUGUGCAAAGUGUCAGGAAAGACUUUUGUCCUCAAAGCUGAAGAAACGUUUCCCACCAGUGUGGAUGAAGGUGUCUCUUCCCCCGAAGGGCAUAGACGAGUAGCGUGCAGAACGUGAGUUAAGUUCUGUUCUCAUGCUUGAACAUAAAAAACUGCUGGUUUUAGUCCAUCUGCACAUCUUCCUUAAAGUCAAAUCUUGAAGGAUCUAAUCUAACGUACUUGAGCAAACAGCAGACAGACACAGUGGAAGGG
Molecule: long non-coding RNA, 1005 nt
Organism: Struthio camelus australis
Lineage: Eukaryota; Metazoa; Chordata; Aves; Struthioniformes; Struthionidae
Source: Ensembl